GACGAACGCUGGCGGCGUGCCUAAUACAUGCAAGUAGAACGCACAGUUUAUACCGUAGCUUGCUACACCAUAGACUGUGAGUUGCGAACGGGUGAGUAACGCGUAGGUAACCUGCCUGGUAGCGGGGGAUAACUAUUGGAAACGAUAGCUAAUACCGCAUAAUAUUGAUUAUUGCAUGAUAAUUGAUUGAAAGAUGCUAUUGCAUCACUACCAGAUGGACCCGCGUUGUAUUAGCUAGUAGGUGAGGUAACGGCUCACCUAGGCGACGAUACAUAGCCGACCUGAGAGGGUGAUCGGCCACACUGGGACUGAGACACGGCCCAGACUCCUACGGGAGGCAGCAGUAGGGAAUCUUCGGCAAUGGACGAAAGUCUGACCGAGCAACGCCGCGUGAGUGAAGAAGGUUUUCGGAUCGUAAAGCUCUGUUGUAAGAGAAGAACGGGUGUGAGAGUGGAAAGUUCACACUGUGACGGUAUCUUACCAGAAAGAGACGGCUAACUACGUG
This 505-nucleotide ribosomal RNA is filed under the name uncultured bacterium. Its description in RNAcentral is "partial 16S ribosomal RNA". It matches the Rfam family "Bacterial small subunit ribosomal RNA", at positions 28 to 507 of the family's 1533-position model. The record is from RNAcentral.